RNAcentral lists this ribosomal RNA (467 nucleotides) under uncultured bacterium. RNAcentral describes it as "partial 16S ribosomal RNA". It matches the Rfam family "Bacterial small subunit ribosomal RNA", at positions 28 to 507 of the family's 1533-position model. The record is from RNAcentral.
GACGAACGCUGGCGGCGUGCUUAACACAUGCAAGUCGAACGGAAAGGCCUGCCUUUGUGGGGUUCUCGAGUUGCCAACGGGUGAGGAACACCUUAGUAACCUUCCCUUUACUUUGGGUAUACCUCACGAAACUUGGGCUAAUACCGGAUAGGGGCCCCUCCUGCUUUGUGGGGGUUGGCAAGUCUCGGCGGUUGGGGAUGGACUCGCGGCUUUUCCGUUUUUUGGUGGGGUACUGGCUUACCAAGGCUUUGACGGGUAGGCGACCUGAGAGGGUGACCGGCUACGUUGUGACUGAGAGAGGGCCCAGACUCCUACGGGAGGCAGCAGUGGGGAAUAUUGCACAAUGGGCGGAAGCCUGAUGCAGCAACGCCGCGUGCGGGAUGACGGCCUUCGGGUUGUAAACCGCUUUCGCCUGUGACGAAGCGUGAGUGACGGUAAUGGGUAAAGAAGCACCGGCUAACUACGUG